Molecule: microRNA precursor, 189 nt
Filed under: Marmota monax (woodchuck)
Lineage: Eukaryota; Metazoa; Chordata; Mammalia; Rodentia; Sciuridae
Source: RNAcentral
CUUUAAAUUUUCCCUUAGCCUCCUGAGCUGCUGGAAUUAUGGGUGUGCACCACUGUGCCCGGUAUAUAUAUAUAUGUAUAUAUAUAUAUAUAUAUAUAUAUAUAUAUAUGUACAUAUAUAUAUAUACCGGGCACAGUGGUGCACACCCAUAAUUCCAGCAGCUCAGGAGGCUAAGGGAAAAUUUAAAGU